This 482-nucleotide ribosomal RNA is filed under the name uncultured bacterium. Its description in RNAcentral is "partial 16S ribosomal RNA". It matches the Rfam family "Bacterial small subunit ribosomal RNA", at positions 28 to 507 of the family's 1533-position model. The record is from RNAcentral.
GACGAACGCUGGCGGCGUGCCUAACACAUGCAAGUCGAACGGAACUGUUUUGACAGAUUUCUUCGGAAUGAAUUUGAUUUAGUUUAGUGGCGGACGGGUGAGUAACGCGUGAGUAACCUGCCUUCAAGAGGGGAAUAACAUUCUGAAAAGAAUGCUAAUACCGCAUGACAUAUCGGAACCACAUGGUUUUGAUAUCAAAGAUUUUAUCGCUUGAAGAUGGACUCGCGUCCGAUUAGUUAGUUGGUGAGGUAACGGCUCACCAAGACCGCGAUCGGUAGCCGGACUGAGAGGUUGAACGGCCACAUUGGGACUGAGACACGGCCCAGACUCCUACGGGAGACAGCAGUGGGGGAUAUUGCGCAAUGGGGGCAACCCUGACGCAGCAACGCCGCGUGAAGGAUGAAGGUUUUCGGAUUGUAAACUUCUUUUAUUAAGGACGAAAAAUGACGGUACUUAAUGAAUAAGCUCCGGCUAACUACGUG